Molecule: long non-coding RNA, 476 nt
Filed under: Androctonus crassicauda
Lineage: Eukaryota; Metazoa; Arthropoda; Arachnida; Scorpiones; Buthidae
Source: RNAcentral
GCAUUUUUUUGUUUUUAACAGGAUCUAUUUGAUUAGAGUUAGAAGUGUGAUAGUAGAAGAUAUUGUGUUGAAUAAAAUUGAGUUAAACUGUGAUAUAGUUCCUUCAUCUUCAAGGGAAAACUGCAUACACAAUCCAUGAAGCAACUUCAGCUAUGCAUAUAGCAAGGAAUGCCCAUCAUAUGAUACUUGACACGAUAAAAACAGGAAUUCAAAUAUGAUUGCAUCAGCUUACAGGAUGGCCCAAGAGAAGUUGUCCAGCAAGGCCAUGUCUGUGUUUUGCAGCAAAGGUGUCAUAUUGACUGAUUACUUACAAAAAGGCAUACUAGAGGAACUUGCUGCAAAAGUUUUGGAACAAUAUCAACAAAAAAAAUGUGAUUUGCUUUUAAAAUAUGUGUUGCUGCUAACUAACAAUGCACCUGUACAUAGAGCUGCAGAAAUAGUCAUUUUUCUCUGCAGCUGUAACUAUGAAACUUUAC